This 2512-nucleotide long non-coding RNA is filed under the name Homo sapiens (human). RNAcentral's name for it is "long non-coding RNA NONHSAT168545.1". The record is from RNAcentral. Lineage: Eukaryota; Metazoa; Chordata; Mammalia; Primates; Hominidae.
AUGUCUUCAGCCUUCAUUGUUUCUGAUGAGAAGUUUUCAUUCUUACCCAUUUUUUGGUAUAUAACACGCCCUUUUUCUCUGGCCACUUUUAAGUUUUUUUUUUUUUUUUUUUUUACUUUAUUUUCAGCCAUUUGCAUGAUGUGCCUAGUGCAGUUAAUUUUUCCAGUAUAUUGUAUAUGUUUUUCUGUACUGGUCUCACUUGCUUCUCUUUCUAGGACUCCAAUUACAUGUCUGUUAACUGCUUAAUACUGUCCCAAAUGUUAUUGUGGCUUCCUCCCACACCCCCAGUAAUUUUUCUCUCCGUGCUUCAGAUUGAAUGAUUUGACUUGUCUUCAAGUUCAUGAAUUAUUUCUUCUUUUGUAUUCAAUCUGCUGUUAAUCCCAUUCAAUAACUUUAAUUUUAGAUGUAGUAUUUUUCAGUUCUAACAUUUCUCCUUGGUUCUUCUUCAUGGUUUUCAUAUCUGCACUGAAAUGUCCCAUUUCUUCACCAAUUAUAACAUUUUUUGCUGUAGGUUUAUACUAUUUUAUAGAUACUAUAAAUUUAUACUGUAGGUGCUAUAAGUUUAGCAAAUUUAGCUACCUUGAAGUGUUUGCUAGUUUCAACAUUGGGGGCAUCAGUAUGUCUGUUUCCCCCAAAGAGUAUAUCUGUUUUUAUUGACCGAUUUAUUUUUUUAUUGACUGUGGUUUACAUUUUCAUGUUUCUUUCCCUGUCUACUAAUAUUUUAUUGUAUGAUAAUACAUGUUAGGGACUCUGAAUUCUAUCACCUUCCUCUAAAGAGUGUUGAGUUUUGUUCUAUAAGGCAGUUAAGUUAUGACAGAGCAUCUUAUACUUAAAGGGGCUUGAUUGUAGGCUUUGUCAGGGUGGAUCUAUUCAGCUUGAUCCUUAGUUUUAGGGCAAAUCCCUUAGUCCUGGAAGUGGUCCCUAAAUCUAAGGUGUGGGCUUUUUGAAGUUUAAUGGAAACCGUGAAGUGUUUGCCACAUCACUCUAUUCUUGCAAGACUUGAACUUUGAACUCAGGAGACCUUUGGGUGGUCAGCUGCUGAAAUACCCACUCGGGACUUUCAGAUUUCUAGCUCUUUGCCCUAGAAUCAUGGGGGUUUUUGCCUUGCUUGCAGCCAAAGAUCUGAGGGGAUUUUAUACACAGAUUUUGGAGUUUCUAUGAUUGCUCCUUUUAGGGAUUUCCCAUCUUGACUUCUAACCACUCUGACAGCCCAAACUCCAUUCUCUGACUCCUCAGAUAGGUAAGACUAUGACAUUCUGCCUGAGUCCUACCUGCCCAGUGCCAUGGACAGGGGAGUGCACUCAGGUAAAGUUGUAUAAACAUGCAUAUCUCCUUUACAGCAUUGAAUCCCUUACAGUUGCUAUCACGGAAAGUAAUCAUUAGGUGACAUCCCCCUAUUUACCCUGAAGUUACUGAACCAUCUUCCCUGGAUUUGUGCAGGGUGUCUCCUAAUUUACGAAGAUUCCAAUUAGAUUGGGAGUAUGACUUAACUCAUUUAAGUCACCCAAAUGCUAUUUGAUCAUAAUUUAGUGUCUUGUUAACCUAAUGGCUUGAAAUAAAUUGACGCACUUCUGAAAAUAGGGUAAAAAUCCCUGAUUUUUCAAGGAGGCUAAUCUUCCGUAAAUGCUAAGCACUAUAGAAUCAAUUAUGUUAUUAAUUUGCUCUUGGUUGCAAGCUACAAAGCUUGAUCAGGCUAAUUACAGAUUAUGCUCUGAGGAAAAUAUUUUUAUAUGCACUAUUUUUUUCUUGCAGGCACUUUAAUAUGAGGUUUUAAAAAACCUUACUUAAGACAAAUAAAAAAGAAAACCUUCAUGUAAUUACUUUACCUGCAGGCUAAUUUUUAAAUACUUCAACACCGUAACAAUUAAAUGGGCUAUGUUAGCUUCAGUUGACAACAUUUAUUUAUUUAUUUAUUUGCAAUGAGACCUCAUAAUAUCCACCAGGCUGGUCUCGAACUCCUGGGCUCAAGAGAUCCUCUUGUCUUAGCCUCCCAAAUAGCUGGGCCUACAGGUGCCAGCCAUUCUGCCUAGCUAGUUGAUCACUUUUAGGGAAGGCAACACCCACAAGAUUUGUUGGACCUGAACUUCUUAUGGUGUGUCUGAUUUUAAAUGAAAUGAAUUUUGCUAAAGUCUCACAAAUGGUUAACUCUUCUGCCUUUAUUACAUGUUUUAAAUAGUUGAUUUAUCUCUUAGUUUCUUGCAGCAUAAUUGGUAUAUUGCUUCUCUUGCUAACAUGUCAUUUUACUGUAGGUGGUUAACUGAAUGUAUUCUCUCUGUAAAUUUCAACAAGUUGCUCAUAAAAUUUUCCCAGCAGAAACUUUUUGUUUCGUAUUUAAAAACUGAAUACACUGUCCUUUAUUUAGAGAGUGUAUGUUUGGAAAAUCAUCCUGUUUAUUUGUAAAUAAAGAUGAACCAGCCAGUCACAAGAUAUAGUUUGUCUUGUUACCACUUAAAAAAAUCCCUUAUAUUUACAAAUAUAAUUCAUUCACAAAACUACCCUUGAUAGAAUUAGG